ACUGUAGCGCAAUGGAUAGCACGUUGGAUUUCUAAUUUAAAUGUCGUGGGUUCGAAUCCCACCUGGAAUA
Non-coding RNA from Trichonephila clavata, 70 nucleotides. The record is from the annotation of a GenBank genome assembly. Lineage: Eukaryota; Metazoa; Arthropoda; Arachnida; Araneae; Nephilidae.